GUUUAAUUUCUUGGUUAAUAGAGUACUUCUGUUUAAUUUGGUUAUUUCAGUUGUUCAUUUUUAUCUCUAAAACUCCUUUUUAUGCUAAUACCAUAGUAUGCUUGUGUAGUUCCAUGUAUGAUGUUUGGAAUAACCUAUUAGAUUCAGUUCUAUGCUUAUUUUAGGUCUUUAGCUCAUAUAAGCGUUGCACAACUUUUGAUUUUCUUCAUAUCAGUUCGCUGUGUUUAUGUUUGCUCUCUUUAUUUUCUUUAUCAGAUGGUUCGGAAGAGGUCCAAUGUUUGUAUUAAUAUUGACAGUUCUCAAGAUUGUGAUUCCGUUGAGUCUGAAGAUAUAUUUGACUCAGAAGAUAUCUUUGACUCAGAAGAUAACCAUAGCUGUGCUUCUCAUGGAAUUGAUCAUUCUCAUGAUGGCGAUCAUGAAAGUAUCAAACGAGCUGCUUAUAAGGAAGUUCUUAAGGAUUUUGCAGAUAUCAAAAUUUUGAAAAGGAAGCUGGCAUUGUCUUUUAGCCGUGAGGUAACUUUUCUUUUUCUUUU
Long non-coding RNA from Panicum virgatum (switchgrass), 533 nucleotides. RefSeq lists it as uncharacterized. The transcript has 3 exons. The record is from RefSeq and is a predicted model, not a curated record. NCBI's taxonomy places the organism in Eukaryota, Viridiplantae, Streptophyta, Magnoliopsida, Poales, Poaceae.